Pogona vitticeps (central bearded dragon) is the source of this 2417-nucleotide long non-coding RNA. The record is from Ensembl. Lineage: Eukaryota; Metazoa; Chordata; Lepidosauria; Squamata; Agamidae.
UCUAAAAAUGACUACAGAACUCACGGGGUAAUUAUAUUUAACCAUAAAUUCUCUCAUUCCGAAUAUCCUUUCCACACAGGGAUACAUUCAUGGUGACUUAUACCUUAGGGCUAUCAUGUAGCUGGAUGCAGUACUUUCUGCAUCAAGCAGGGGGUUGGACUUGAUGGCUUUAUAGACUCCUUCCAACUUCACUCUAUGUAAUUGUCAUGAACAGCAGCAGCAACAAUGGAAAAAAAACAAAAACGUAACAUUUACCAGAGAUAAAAUUCCACCAACCCUACAUAUACUGUUUUUAAUUACUCUCAGGUUCAGCAAUCCAUUUAAAACUGACAAAAUAAGGGAUGGGAACGUCAUCACUCAUGUAUGAAUGUCAUUUUAAAUAAAAUGUAUGGAAACAGAACCCUUCAACUUCUCAAAAACAGAUGCUCUCCAUUCAUUUUAAGAGCUACAGCACCCCUUUCCGGAGUCCUCGCACCCAAAACACAGCCCACCUCUCCCUCCCUCUCACCGUCUCCUUGCUCAGUCUCCCCCACAACACUCCCACCAUCUUUCCACCUCUUCUCACCGGCAACAACACACGCUCCCCAAUUUCGUCCCGGUUGUUAUCCGUCCAUAGACACACGUACGGAUACAAAGAAUGCAUGCAAACACACACACACACACACACCAUACAUCUAUGGUGUGCGUGUCUUUGCAUGCAUGCACAAAGAAUGCAUGCAAACACACACACACACCAUACAUCGAUGGCGUGUGUGUGUUUGCAUGCAGGCGUUCUUUGGGGGCGUCCAUCCACCCGCAACCGGCUUUUCCUUCCCUCUCAAGCCCAUUCCUCAGCCCUCGCACCCCUUCGCCUUUUGCAGAGUCACGUCCCAGGCCUGGGGCUUGGAUGAGGGAGAGCCCGGUAUCCCGUUUGGGCAAAGGAACGGAAUGUCGUUACACGGAACGGGAGGGGAAGGAUUCUGUGAAGCAUUGGCCACCUUUCCUCCAAACGAGGACAGCGGGGAAACCCCCCGCCCGCCCACGGAGAGCCACUACUCUCGCCCGCAGCCGAGGCGAGACAAGCGCCCUCCCCGGAGCGACUCACCCGGUGUCUCUCUCUCCCUCUCCGCCUCCACUCGAGGGAGGCCAGCCCGGGGAAGCCGGGGCCGGAACUGGCCCCCCAAGCCUCGGCUACACGGAACCGCUGCUCGCUGAACACCGAUGCUGGGCCAUGAGGUCCCGCCAAACCAACUUAUAUAAAGAGCAACCGGCAACAUGAUGAGAAGAAGCCCACCCAAGAACUAGGUAAAAAAAUUGAGCUUCAGCAUUGAAUCGGCAGUCCUGCUGGUUUCUGGAAGGCUAUGAGUGAGCAAGAGCCGGUGUUGUGUAGUGGAUAAAGUGCUGGACCAGAAAGCAAGAGCCGGUGUUGUGUAGUGGAUAAAAUGCUGGACCGGAAAUCAUGAGACUUGGGUUCAAAUCCCUGCUUGUCCAUGGAAAAACAUUGGGAAAUGACCUUUCUUUCUUUCUUCCCAUCAGAGCACUGCACACUUUAGAAUAUUUUGAAAUAUUGCUCCUGGGGGCGUCUCAACAACUCUAUCUUAAUAGAAAUUGUUGCCAUCUUUGGUCCUUUGGGGUCAUUUUGCUCCUCAGCAGGUUUGCAGUGCAAUGUGUCUGGAAGUGAAGGAUUGCCAGCUGCAUGCCAUGACCCAGGGAACACCCAGGUGCACUCACAGUGCUUUUUCACUGGUCAACACACACCUGUGCUUUGACAUGGCGAUUUGAGAGAAAAGGUUUCUUUGCCCCUUUUUGCAGCUGUUCCACCAUGAUGUGUGCCCUCAGAUCCCAUCCCACCCCCAGGUCAUCAACAGAGCUCCACCCUUCUUCUCAGCCUGGCUCCACCUCUCACCAUAUGACUAGGAGGCAAUCACACCCCCUUUCCUCUCUGCUUUGUAACUUUAUCUGCAGGGCCAUCAUAUGAUCUGAAUUCCCACCAAUGGGGUUGCCAUGUUCAGAGGAGUUUCCUCAGGGGGUGUAGACCUCUUUCACAAAUCCCUUCUCUCUUUUCAUGAAUAUAAACCCUCCUUUGAAGAAGGUGGUGAGUUGACCUGAACACUAACCAGACCUGCCAUGAAUAUAAACCCUCCUUUGAAGAAGGUAGUGAGUUGACCUGAACACUAAACAGACCAGACCUGUGGAAAAGAUGGGAAGGAAUAUCAACAUAGCUUUGUAUGGAGUACCCUUUACAUCAGUAUUGCAAUAUUUGGUGUUACUCUGUUUGAGGAUCCCAAUAGCUCUCAGCAGAUCCUUCCCUCUCUGGGUCCCUCCCUUCCCAACAGUCUGACUUGCUGUGCCUCCCAGGUUCCCAGUCCUUCAGAACACCUGGAAAGCCAGCCAUUUCUUGAACUAGGGAAAUAAAGGGGGAAAUGCUCCAGGAUGCA